This 930-nucleotide long non-coding RNA is filed under the name Brassica rapa (field mustard). RNAcentral's name for it is "long non-coding RNA (BRAP_LNC001505)". Lineage: Eukaryota; Viridiplantae; Streptophyta; Magnoliopsida; Brassicales; Brassicaceae. The record is from RNAcentral.
UUUUUAAUUGAGCUUUGAGCGUUUAACUUAAAAAAUAUAAUUUAACUGAUACAACCCAUUCAGAAAAGAAAAUUAUAAAUCCAAUUAACUUUUGUUACAGAAAAAAAAAUUAACCAAAUUAACUUUAGACCAUUUUUUUUACAAAAUCCCAAAUUAUGAAGACCAUUUUAUACAUAAAUACAUAUAAAUGUAACAUUAUUUAAAUUGUAUGGAUUUCUAAUAAUAAAAUAUCUGUCACAAAUUGAUUCUUUUAAAAAAAAAAAAUUGAUAAUAGUUUGAUAGAAAAUUAAAAAAGGAAAAAAAAUAAUACUUGCUUCACUAUUUUGGUACACUGAUAAUUAAUAUAUUUAUAAAUAAACUUAACAAUAUUUGUUAAAAGAAAUUUCUUAUACAAGUCAAAUAUAUAUUAAUAUAUCAAAAAUUUAUAAAACAAAAAACAAAUUAUAUUUUUCUCAAUGGGUUAAUAACGGUCUCUUUGAUUUUCAAAUACUUUUAAUGUAUUCAUUUUAUUAUAUUCUAUCCCACUAUAUAUGAGUUACUAGAUCUUACGGUUCGACCACAAGUCUGAUUCGGAUAUGAAAACUCAAUGAAAACAUUGUACCGGACUGAAAUAAUAAUAAUAGAACAUCUUUUAAAUAUUUUAGAUAUCUAAUAAUAAAUAUAAAUUCAUUUAAUAUUUGAGUUUACGGUCACCAAAAAAAUACCCGCGCUUCUUAAGCGCGGGUCAAAAUCUAGUCUAUUCUAUUAAAACAGCAGUGUGACCAAUCGAUAAAAGUAGAAUCCAAUUAAAAAAAACUAAUUUUUAUAUAACUGCAUCUAAUUAUAUCAAAGCACUAACACGUUCUAAUUUUAUCUACCAACGACAGUUAUCACUUUUUCUUCGUAUAAUAAUGAGGUAAACUUGUGAAAUGAAACUGUCCUAAUUAUUCU